CAGCCGUAAACUAUGCGCGUUAGGUGUACUGGUGACCACGAGUCACCGGGGUGCCGAAGGGAAACCGUGAAACGUGCCGCCUGGGAAGUACGGUCGCAAGGCUGAACUUAAAGGAAUUGGCGGGGGAGCACCACAACGGGUGGAGCCUGCGGUUUAAUUGGACUCAACGCCGGAAAUCUCACCGGAUAGGACAGACAUAUGAUAGUCGGGCUGAAGACUCUACUUGAUGAUCUGAGAGGAGGUGCAUGGCGUCAGUGACU
Molecule: ribosomal RNA, 260 nt
Filed under: uncultured archaeon
Lineage: Archaea
Description: partial 16S ribosomal RNA
Rfam family: Archaeal small subunit ribosomal RNA
Source: RNAcentral